GAUGUUUUGGGUUUGAAGAAGCGUGGCCAAGGACUGCGGUCUUGGAUUCGUGUUGAUUCUUUUGGGAACUCUCAGGUUAUUGAGGUUGACAAAUUCACUAUGAUGCGUCGUUGUGAUCUACCUGCUCGUGAUCUACGUUUGCUUGAUCCUCUGUUUGUUUACCCUUCAACAAUUCUUGGUAGAGAGAAGGCCAUAGUUGUGAAUUUGGAGCAGAUUCGAUGUAUUAUUACAGCUGACGAGGUUCUGCUACUGAAUUCCCUUGAUAGUUAUGUAUUGCAGUAUGUGGUGGAG
This 291-nucleotide unclassified non-coding RNA is filed under the name Hevea brasiliensis (rubber tree). Lineage: Eukaryota; Viridiplantae; Streptophyta; Magnoliopsida; Malpighiales; Euphorbiaceae. The record is from RNAcentral.